This 1091-nucleotide small RNA is filed under the name Histoplasma capsulatum. RNAcentral describes it as "hypothetical RNA". The record is from RNAcentral. Lineage: Eukaryota; Fungi; Ascomycota; Eurotiomycetes; Onygenales; Ajellomycetaceae. RNAcentral also lists the same sequence under 1 other name.
UUGGGUUUGGGAUAGCAGUAUUGUGCUGACGGUGAAUAUACCAUUGGAAUAUUCUAUUAUUUUGACAGCUGAUUCCGUCUAGCUAGCCAACUUUGUCUGUACGCAGGGACGAGGGAGUUGACCAAGGUAAACAAAUUCUUGGAACUUCGAUCCUGCCCGCUCCAUCGUGCAUUUCCGCACCAUGAGACAAGAGUCCCGUGCAUGCAACUUACGCCAUUAGCCACCAUGUAUCAGACCUGUAUUCAAGGGAGGGGCACAAGGGAUAAUUGCUUUUUCUUUUUCUUUUUCUUCUUUUUUUUUGUUUCUUUCGAAGAGGGGCUCUAUCUACAGCUGAAAUGUAUGCGAAUCAACCACCAAGGUGAAUAGGCUGAUUAUUCUUCCCUCAACGCUGCGAAGGAACAGAAACACUCAGACGAAAGUUUCAUUCAGCAGUUUGUUCAGAAGUAGCUUGGUCUCUCGCUCGACGAAGCAACUUCUGACGCAACCAAUCGAUACUAGCCUUGGAAGGUCGCGAUCAAAGUCAUGACCAGCCGCUCUUGGAACCCGAGGACGCUAAGAAGGGCCAUAUGGUUCUUUUUUACCUGAUUUUGCGUCCAGCGAUGCUGAUAGGUAUUUGUCCAACCCAGCUCUCAAAAUUCGGACAAAUAUCAGACGUAUGACCAGGUCCCCGUUUUCAAAUUUGAGGCGAUUGGUGGGAAGGGGACAUUAAAUUCACACCCAAAAAUCCAUGGAUUUUUUGGGUGAGCAGAGCUUUGCCCGAGUUAUUAGCCAGAGGGUUGCCUUGGGCAAGCAACCUUCACAUCCAUGAUACCCCGGAGGCACAGAUUUUUGACCUGCCAAUAAACCCAUGACUUCCCAAAACAAGCAUAGAACAACUCGAGUUCAAUACACCUUUUUUGCUUUCUCGAAUUUGUUGCGAUAAGCUGGAACACCGCAUCAUAAAGUUGGAAUUUGAUACGAGAACAAAAUCAGCUUAUAAAUUACCUGUAAAUAAUGGGAAAGCUACAUCUCUUUACUUAGAUACUUAGAUAGUAUUUCAGAAAUAAAUGACAUUCGAGCGGUUGGUUCGGAGUCAUUUCCUUCAUUUACCU